CAUGAACCGCCUGCCCAGGCAGCUCCCCACCUCAGACCUCCUCGCAGGAGGUGGAAUCAUCUGCCUAAGCCACAUGGACAAAGUGACUGAGCAUCUCCCUGUGCUCCAACUCCAGGGAGCCAACUGCAUAAGCUUCUUCCUCCUCCUCGGGAACUUGGGCCAGGGGCCCAGCUUCCUGACUACAGUCUGCUGCUCCAACACCACUAGGACUUCACACAGCUCACCUGCCAGGCAGUACCAGGCAAGGAGACAAAGGCGCAGGCAGAGGGAGGACACCUUCUCCGGGGAGCGGAUGAUAGAGCAUGAACUUCCCAGGACCCACAGCCUCUCUCUCUGGCUGUCGAAGACUCCCGAGCACAGCUGUGCCAACCCCCAGCCCCCAUCCAGAGUUGGAGCCACAUCCAAGUGCUUGAAACCUGGAAGGUUCUCCUCUGAGCAGCACCACCUCCCUUUGCAAAAACACUUUCCUGUGCAGAAAAUCAUUCUCUGCAUCGUCCAAAAGAGACCCUGCCCAGCCCACUGCCCUGAGAUGUUCCAAGCAAGCCCACCCGGCUGGGGGCAGUGGGAGGCAUGAUGAGAAGACACCCAGAUCACAGCAGAGGCCCUGGCCUGAUGCCCACCUCCUUGACCCUGGAUCCAGAGUUAGCAGGAGGCCAGCUGGGCUGGGUCAGCUCUGCAAUGCACAGAGCCUGGGCAUCUCCAGCUCUUACAAAUACCCCAAGAGUGGACCUUGGGGGUCCAUGAUGAGACCACAGUUUGCCCAGCACGGUAGGCAGAGACCCUAGGUUCCUGGUACCCAUGAGAGAAUUUUCCAUCUGCCUCAGGGAACCUGGGUCCUAUGCCCUAUCUCCCCUCUCCUGAACCCUGCUCCCAAUCAGAAAUGUAUGUUUGUUUUAAAUGUAUUAAUAUAUGAUACACCACAUGAUCCAAAGUCGAGUGUAAAGGCAAUACAGUGGAAUACACCCUCAGGCCUUUCCCUUAGCUGCCCAGAGACAGUUCAUGAAUAUACGAGCAAAUAUGCACGUGUUCCAUUCAAAGGAACAGGGCACAGUGGGAAGGGCACAGACUCUGAGCCAGUCUGUCUGAGCUCCAGCACUGCCCCUUUCCAGCUGGUGAUGUGGGGCAUCUCUCUGUGCCCUGGUCCCCCGCCCCCCCAUCUGCAGAAUAGGGUAUGAUCAUAGUACCUACUCCACAGGAUGAAGCCGAGAUUAAACUACACAUAUUAGCUCUCACCAUAAUGGCUGUUCUCCUCUUUGCUGUUUUACUCAAAUGAGCGUAGUGUGUCUGUUUCACACACACAUCUAAUUUCUUUCACUUUGAAGUGUAUCUGGGAGCUCACUCAGUCUACUUUAGAGCUGCAUCGUAUUCCAUUGCCUCAAUGCACCACAGUUUAUUUGAGCCAGUCUUUGUUUUAAGUAGACAUUUUGGUAGUUUCUUUUAUAAGCAAGGCUUCAUGGAAUAACUCUACAUACACCACAUAAUUUUUUAUACCUCUAUCAUACCACAUAAUUGUCAUUUCUUUUUUAUAAUAAGAGAGGUUAAGAUCUAAUCUCUUAGCACCUUUGAAGUUUAGAAUAUCAUUGUCUAUAAUCGCUAUGCUGUGCAUUAGCUCUCCAGGACUUAUGUAUCUACUGGCUGCAAGUUUUUACCCUCAAAUAACACCCCCCCAAAGAGAUAUGCUAUAUUUUAUCUAAAAAAUAUUAGGAUAAAUUCCUAGCAGUAGAAAGCUCGUCAACAGGUAUGUGCAUUUGUUAUUUUUUGCCAUCCAGAGAGGUUGUACAGAGUCACCGUUUCAUUGGCAACAUGUAAGAGUUUCUGUUUCCCAUACCUUUACCAAGAGUUUAUAAAUAAAAUUUUUAUUUUUGUCAAUUUGGCAACUGAAAAAUA
Molecule: long non-coding RNA, 1887 nt
Organism: Phacochoerus africanus (Common warthog)
Lineage: Eukaryota; Metazoa; Chordata; Mammalia; Artiodactyla; Suidae
Exons: 3
Source: RefSeq, a predicted model, not a curated record